Non-coding RNA from Oncorhynchus mykiss (rainbow trout), 4422 nucleotides. The record is from RefSeq and is a predicted model, not a curated record. NCBI's taxonomy places the organism in Eukaryota, Metazoa, Chordata, Actinopteri, Salmoniformes, Salmonidae.
AUACCCAUGGAAAGACGUGAUUCCGAUGCUUAUGCGAUAUCAUUGUUUAGUUUCUUUGCCAUUGAGGCUGAGAUAAAACCUUCUAUAGCCUAGGAGACUGAUCAUGAAUUGAUUAAGCUAUUCACUUUCUGUACAAUAUAAUAUUUUUUUUUACAUUGGGUUAAGCCAUGGAAGAAGAGUAGCCAGCAGUUAAAGCUUACAUUUGUCCGCGUCGGUUGGCCUACUCGUUCUAAGGGUGGAAAGGUAGGCCUGACUUUUACCACGCUCAGUUUCCUAACGACGUCUCAUAUUUAAUUAUUUGCAAAUAGGGACAGUUUCGUUGCAAACAAGACACACUGAUUUGGCAUUGGAGAAAUGUGAUAAAAUUAACACAAGGGCCUAUCUCUCUGUCCAUUCUUAGCCUGUAAUGUCGGUAGUUUGUGUGGUAUUAACAAAUAUUGAGAUUCGGAUCAUGUGACUUGAGACUUGUUUGUGACUCGAACAAUAGUGACUUGGUCCUCCCCCUGAGUGGUACAGAUAAGGAGCGAAAUUAAUAUUCCUUAUCGUUUAUGAAAUGGAGAAUGUUCAUAGAAAUCCGAACUGACGAUGUCCACUCCACUCCUGUAGGUAGCGACAUUGCAGAAUGCGUUAAGCCGUGGUGCGCACUCUACGCAUGCUUUUUUUUUGGCACAGCAGAUCCAUGAACAUCUAUCAUUGAUGAACGAAGUUGUUGUCAAAUAAUAGCGUCGUCACUGAUUGUUAGUUAGCUAGCACUAGCAUUCUGUAAACAUGUCUAAAAUACAGUUGUUGAGAGCGUUUCUCAACCAGCGGCUAACUGUGGCUGCUGAUGAGAUAUUCGGGGCAGUUGAAAAAACGAUAGCUGAGUACCAGGAAGAGGUUUCCCGUUCGAAAAAGGAGAACGACCGUCUACAGAAUAUUCUUGACAUCGUUAUUAAACCUGAGAUAAAGUUACAAAGAGCAGACCUCCAGCAGCUCACUGUAUUGGACGAGGAGGUUCACCCUGAGCAGCAGCCCUGUGUGCAGGAUUGGAGCCCUAGUCUUGGACAGGAGGACAGCGAGCCCAUAUGGAUCAAAAAGGAGCAGGAGGAACUCAAAAAGCAACUUCAGUGGCUGGAGUCUGACACCAGAGAGUUCAUAUUUGAUCCUUUCUGUGUAAGUGAUUAUGAUCAGGACCCAACUCAGCCCUUGCAAAUCCAAAGUGAGGAAAAUAGGGAGAGAGAUUCUCAACCAAACGUUGUAACUGGACAGAUCAAAACAGAACCUGAUGAAGAGGACUACAGAAUAUCAGAACCAACCUGUUCUUCAGCUCAGAGUACAAAUAGUGAACAUGUCAAUGGAAUGGAAAGCAAAGGAGCCCAGUCUCUUUUAAAGUCACACAAACCAAAGACCACAAAAAAACAAAAAAGAAAACAAACUUAUAGCAGUGCAAAUGGCAUGAAAUGUACUCCCUGUUCUUGUAAGGUUUGUGGCAGGUCUUUUCGGUACAAGCGUCCCUUUUUUAAUCAUGUGCAAAGUCAUGCACAUAUAGAGGAUAAAGAACGUGUCUGUGGUGUGUGUGGAAAGCACCUAGAUUCUAAAGAGAAUAUGAAAGAUCACCUCCAAACUCACAUCGUAGCUGAGCCUGAGUUUUGUCAUGUUUGUGGUAAAACGUUCACCACGAAGCUUAGGCUGAAAAAGCACAUGAGGGUUCACACAGGAGAGAAACCAUAUCGCUGCGAUGAUUGUGGCAGGUGUUUCAGUGAUGCCGCCAAUUUGAUCGGACACAAAAGGACUCACACGGGCGAGAAACCAUAUUGCUGCCAGGAAUGUGGCCAAGGAUUCACUCAAAGUGGACAUCUGGUUUUGCACAGGAGGAGACAUACUGGGGAGAAGCCAUAUCUCUGUUCUGUUUGUGGCAAAAGUUUCAGCACCAGAUCAAAUUAUACAGGACACAUGAGAGUUCACACAGGGGAGAAACCAUAUAGCUGCCAUGAUUGUAGCAAAUGUUUCAGCAAUACUGCUAAUCUGAGUGCGCACAGGAGGAUUCAUACAGGGGAGAAACCAUAUUGUUGUGAUUAUUGUGGCAAAGGAUUUGCUCAGAAUGGAAAUCUUAAAAUGCACAUGAAGACACACAGGAAAUAAAUCUUAUAGGCUAAUUGCUGUAUUUGUGAGAAAUAUCUCAGCACUGACAUCCACCCAACUUGAGAAUCCAAGAGAGAAAUACAUCUCUUUCGUGACUGUGGCAAAGCCUUUGCACAAUGGAAAUUUGGCAAGGCAUAAUGAGAAUGUACAAAAUGUAUAACGUGUCAGAACUCAGCAUGAACAACAAAAUUUCAACAGUUUGAUAACACUGGAGAUAACUGUGAUCUGGCUCAUCUGACAGUGAUUGAGGUUUCACACACAGUGGUGAGAGACUAUACAAGUGUCCUAUAGAAAAUGCUUUAUCACAAGUGUAUUAACUAGGUGUCAAAGGAGCCUAGUUGAGGAAAAAUUGUAGGCCUACAUGCAAUCCCUGCUUCAAGUUCUUCAAAUGGACUCACUAGGAAGGCACAUUCACAACAGGGAGAAAACAUGUCAGGGCCUUCAGGGAAAGGGCAUCAGACAGAGGAUUGAGAAGCAUAUUCUCACUUCCACCAGUAAGAAGAGAUGGGAUCUAGUACAUACCCACAAGAACCCAGCUCUUGGAUCAACAAGAUAUGACUGUACUAGCUUGAACUUACAGAACAUUGCUAGAAGUCCACAUGAACAUUGUGCAACAGAUUGCUGAGCAGCAGGAGUCCCUGCUUAUUAGUAUGACACAGGACACACGUUUGAGCUGCUGUCCUGUGUCUUGAAAACAAAACUUUGCAUUUUUUGUCUUGAAAGUAAAAUGCCUUCUCCAGUAAUACAUCAUAUAUGUUUUUAACACUGUUGUGAUGUUGUUGUCUUACUUUUCAAAGUGUCCGUUACUUCAUGGCUUUCAUACCAAAACUAUAGUCAUACCUCUGAGUUUGAUGUCAAUUUGCCUGCAAAGAAAAUAAAUACUUGUCUAUUUCAUUGUAUAUGUAUUGACAGGUAUAAAUACUUAGUAUGCUAUGUUCCAGGUGAACUAUUAAAUGUGCAUGGGCUACCAUCUGAAAUGUGUGCUUCUUAUUUCAACCAGAAACUUAAAUAUGAUAAAAUAUGAAAAUGUAUGAUCAUUUUUAGAUCAUACAUUUUCCAGACAUCCAGAACGUGGCACAGAAUAAAUAACAGAUAUGCUGUAAUGGGAAAUUAUUUGGCUAAUUCUUUCCCUGUGUUUGAUUUACUGUUGAUAUGUAAUAAACAUAAUUGUGUGGGAAGACACAGACAGAUGCAUUCCCUAUGUUUAAGUCGCUUUGUGCCUGUUAGUAUAAAAUGAUCUAUUGUAACUAACUAUUUAUGAUAUUAUUUUUGACCUGUUUAACUGCCAGUAUGAAAUGUCUGCAGGUGUUUAAUGUUAUGGUUAAAGUUUGACCCAAGACUGGAUUUAAGGACACAUUGAUAAUGUAUCUGUGCCACUGUGAUUCUGUAGCAGCUGAUGUGACUUCCUUCAAGCCUCUGGCUGGUGUUUACAGAACAUUCGGUGCUUUGUGAUUAAUAUAUAAGGAGCGUUAGACAUUUUCUAUGCUUCUUCUGUAGGUGUUUCCCUCAAUUGUUGUAUUAAACCGGAUUGAUUUAGAUUUGACUUCAUCAACAACUGCACUCCUUUUUGUUCACCUGGACAUUCCUGUUACAUAAUGUUAAUUGAUAACUCAUAAGUCAUAAAUAGCUAUCAGUUAUUUAUCUCAUUUUCUGCUCCAAUUAAAUUGAUCAUAAUUUUGACUUUUAAUUUGAAAUUCAUACAAUAAAUUAUACCGGAAGUUAGACCCAGCGGUCAGUUUCGUUCCACAUCACAUCCGCUGAGCAACAGCACAGCAGAAGUCAAUUUUUGUGUUUUUGUAUUUCUGAGCACAGCAGUGCAGUAAACACUUUCAACAACUCCUACAUCUUUCCUACAUCGGCAUCCGUUACUCUAAUGAAAUCUGGUGUCCCAAAGGGUGAGAACUGCCUUGUAGACAUGGACUCCAAGGCAGGGGAUCUCUUCAGCGCUGAGCCAGCCGACGCUGCUGGAUCGGGAGGUGUCAUGGGAAGGCUGUGGCUGCCCAAAGGCCUCUCGCCCAGUGUGGCCAAGGAGUGGUUUGAUCGUCGCCGUGCGUCCAUCCGUCCCUGGGCUGGCUUCGUGGAUCACAGGAAGUUCACCAAGCCCCGCAACUUUGGUGAACUGUGCCAGAGGGUGGUGCGCAACUUUGACACCUACAACAGCAACUACACCUUCAUCUUCCUCGGCCUCAUCCUCUACUGCAUUAUCAGCUCUCCCAUGCUGCUGAUUGCUUUGGCAGUGUUUGUUGGUGCCUUCUACAUCAUCCACCUCAAGUCCCUGGAGUCUAAACUGGUCGUCUUUGG